GGACUGGUCCCCGGGGAGGCCUAGUUCUCUCUUCUUUCCCGCCCCUGCCUUACCUCCACCCGGCGCCACGACCACCCAGAGUCCCGGGCUGAGAAGAGAGGAGAGCACCCACCUGGUCGGAGUCACAUGCUGCCCCGGGCCGGCCCGAGAGUCCCCUCCAGGUCCGGGCGCCCGCCGCGGUCCCCAGCCAGGCCAGGCCGCCCCGGCGCCCCACCCGCGGCCCGCCCCUGCCGCCGGACGGGAGGGAGGGACCGGCUUCUCCUAAGGAAGUUUCAGGAAUGCUGUGGCCCACAUCUCCAAUCAGCUUUUGUGGGUAGACUGUCCCCUGAUCCCUGUGUCCACCGCUGCUGCAGAAGAGGUUAAGCAGUUGUUUGGAAGGCCCUGUAGAAUCAAACGUGACCGAGGGAGAACGGCCUCCUCUCUGAUAGUCCUCAAGCAAUGCAGUGUUCAAAAAAUGCCCUAGUUCCGUCAUGCUCUUUUGAAGGAUUAAACUUUAAAGAGUUUAGCUAGCUUAGACACACUCUUAAUUG
Molecule: long non-coding RNA, 530 nt
Filed under: Mus pahari (shrew mouse)
Lineage: Eukaryota; Metazoa; Chordata; Mammalia; Rodentia; Muridae
Description: lncRNA (MGP_PahariEiJ_G0002921.1)
Source: RNAcentral